Podarcis lilfordi (Lilford's wall lizard) is the source of this 72-nucleotide non-coding RNA. The record is from the annotation of a GenBank genome assembly. Lineage: Eukaryota; Metazoa; Chordata; Lepidosauria; Squamata; Lacertidae.
GCCAACUCUAGCUCAGUCAGUGGAGCAUCAGACUCAAUCUCAGAGUCAUGGGUUUGAGCCCCAUGUUGGGCA